RNAcentral lists this ribosomal RNA (465 nucleotides) under uncultured bacterium. RNAcentral's name for it is "partial 16S ribosomal RNA". It matches the Rfam family "Bacterial small subunit ribosomal RNA", at positions 32 to 507 of the family's 1533-position model. The record is from RNAcentral.
AAUCAACGCUGGCGGCGUGCCUCAGACAUGCAAGUCGAACGAUUAAACUUCCCUUCGGGGAAGAUAUAAAGUGGCGCACGGGUGAGUAACACGUAGGUAAUGUACCUUUGGGUGGGGAAUAACUUAGGGAAACUUAAGCUAAUACCGCAUAAUGCAGCGGCUCCUUCGGGAGACAGUUGUUAAAGAUUUAUCGCCUAAAGAGCAGCCUGCGGCAGAUUAGCUAGUUGGUAAGGUAACGGCUUACCAAGGCUACGAUCUGUAUCCGACCUGAGAGGGUGGUCGGCCACACUGACACAGAGAGGCGGUACGGACCCCUAGGGGAGGAGGGGGGGGGGAAUGUAGGGGAAGGGGCGAAGGACUGACCCAGCACCGCCGGGGGAAGAAUGAAUUCUUUGGGGAUGUAAAUUUCGAAAAAAUAGGAAGAAUAAAGGGGGGUAUUAUGAGGAAGGUCCGGCUAACUACGUG